Molecule: ribosomal RNA, 681 nt
Filed under: uncultured bacterium
Lineage: Bacteria
Description: bacterial SSU rRNA
Rfam family: Bacterial small subunit ribosomal RNA
Source: RNAcentral
GCGAACGGGUGAGUAAUAUAUCGGAACGUGCCCAGUCGUGGGGGAUAACGUAGCGAAAGCUACGCUAAUACCGCAUACGAUCUAUGGAUGAAAGCGGGGGAUCGCAAGACCUCGCGCGAUUGGAGCGGCCGAUAUCAGAUUAGCUAGUUGGUGGGGUAAAGGCCCACCAAGGCGACGAUCUGUAGCUGGUCUGAGAGGACGACCAGCCACACUGGAACUGAGACACGGUCCAGACUCCUACGGGAGGCAGCAGUGGGGAAUUUUGGACAAUGGGCGCAAGCCUGAUCCAGCAAUGCCGCGUGCAGGACGAAGGCCUUCGGGUUGUAAACUGCUUUUGUACGGAACGAAAAGGUCUGCCCUAAUACGGCGGGCUCAUGACGGUACCGUAAGAAUAAGCACCGGCUAACUACGUGCCAGCAGCCGCGGUAAUACGUGGGGUGCAAGCGUUAAUCGGAAUUACUGGGCGUAAAGCGUGCGCAGGCGGUUUUGUAAGACAGAUGUGAAAUCCCCGGGCUCAACCUGGGACCUGCAUUUGUGACUGCAAAGCUAAAGUACGGCAGAGGGGGAUGGAAUUCCGCGUGUAGCAGUGAAAUGCGUAGAUAUGCGGAGGAACACCGAUGGCGAAGGCAAUCCCCUGGGCCUGUACUGACGCUCAUGCACGAAAGCGUGGGGAGCAAACAG